Empidonax traillii (willow flycatcher) is the source of this 448-nucleotide long non-coding RNA. RefSeq lists it as uncharacterized. NCBI's taxonomy places the organism in Eukaryota, Metazoa, Chordata, Aves, Passeriformes, Tyrannidae. The transcript is spliced from 3 exons. The record is from RefSeq and is a predicted model, not a curated record.
GCCGUCGACCACCGAGGCUCCCGCUCCUGCGUGUUGCGGGCUCUCCCGGGACGCAGCUGCGCUCCGGCGGGCAGGAACACGCGGGGCUUGGAGGCCUGGCAGGGAGAAGCGCCUCUUUCAUCAGGGAAAAUGAGGCCAAAGAGUGAGCUUGAGCAGUGCCGUGUGCCCCAGCAGGGACAACCCUUCCUCUGCAUAGCCCCAAACCUGUUCACAGCAAGCACCCUCAGACCCUUGCACUUUGUAACAACUGUACUGCUCCCACCCAGCUACACUUACACCCAGACAGGCAUGUGGUGCCCACACAGCUGGGCACACACAGCCGGACACAUGCUCCUCCAAACCUCCCACGUGGGGCCAGCCCCCCUCAGAUCCCAGGCAUUCGGUACACCAUGCACCCUGCACCCCCAGUCCUUCAUCCUCACACCAUUUUUGGGUAAUAAAAGUACUC